Molecule: ribosomal RNA, 759 nt
Filed under: Neisseria subflava
Lineage: Bacteria; Pseudomonadati; Pseudomonadota; Betaproteobacteria; Neisseriales; Neisseriaceae
Description: bacterial SSU rRNA
Rfam family: Bacterial small subunit ribosomal RNA
Source: RNAcentral
AUUGAACGCUGGCGGCAUGCUUUACACAUGCAAGUCGGACGGCAGCACAGAGAAGCUUGCUUCUUGGGUGGCGAGUGGCGAACGGGUGAGUAACAUAUCGGAACGUACCGAGUAAUGGGGGAUAACUAAUCGAAAGAUUAGCUAAUACCGCAUAUUCUCUGAGGAGGAAAGCAGGGGACCUUCGGGCCUUGCGUUAUUCGAGCGGCCGAUAUCUGAUUAGCUAGUUGGUGGGGUAAAGGCCUACCAAGGCGACGACCAGUAGCGGGUCUGAGAGGAUGAUCCGCCACACUGGGACUGAGACACGGCCCAGACUCCUACGGGAGGCAGCAGUGGGGAAUUUUGGACAAUGGGCGCAAGCCUGAUCCAGCCAUGCCGCGUGUCUGAAGAAGGCCUUCGGGUUGUAAAGGACUUUUGUCAGGGAAGAAAAGGCUGUUGCUAAUACCGACAGCUGAUGACGGUACCUGAAGAAUAAGCACCGGCUAACUACGUGCCAGCAGCCGCGGUAAUACGUAGGGUGCGAGCGUUAAUCGGAAUUACUGGGCGUAAAGCGAGCGCAGACGGUUACUUAAGCAGGAUGUGAAAUCCCCGGGCUCAACCUGGGAACUGCGUUCUGAACUGGGUGACUAGAGUGUGUCAGAGGGAGGUAGAAUUCCACGUGUAGUAGUGAAAUGCGUAGAGAUGUGGAGGAAUACCGAUGGCGAAGGCAGCCUCCUGGGAUAACACUGACGUUCAUGCUCGAAAGCGUGGGUAGCAAACAGG